CGUGGACUCUAUCAUCACUGGAGGGUUUAUUACGGACAGGAACAUGGAAAACAUUACGUUGUCAACGUUUCAGGAGGAGAGUCCAACAGCAAGCCUUUGGCCAUUACUUCUAAAUUGGUGAAGGAAGAACUUAACAAGGUGGCUGGAAAAAGUGACUACUCUGUGUACAGAGAACUGGACAAACAUAAUGAACCAAGAAGUCCUGAGCAGAUGAAAGCAGACAUGGACAAAAUGAUUGGUACCCAAAUAAAGUAUGAUCCCUUUGGAAAGAACUGUCAACACUUUGCUACACAAAUACGGUACGGCAAGGAAAUAUCUCCCGAGGGGGAAAGUGCAGCCAAAUCCGUGGGCAAAAACCUGACAGAUUUCCGUGCAGAAAUGGACCCUUUUUCUGUCUUUGGAACAGAGAAGUUCAAAAAGUAACAGCUUAUUCACCUGAUGAAUUUCUUCAUCUUUUGUGGUGUUCCUUGCCUUUCUGAUAAAGGGCACAAUUUCUCUUUACAAAGUACAAUAGAAAAUGCUUGUUAAAAUAUUCUUACUUCUUUAAUUAUGGUGAGCAAAAUGAAUCUAUUGUUGUAAAAAUGAAAUCAAUAAAAAUUCAAGUUGCAUCAAA
Molecule: long non-coding RNA, 613 nt
Organism: Acipenser ruthenus (sterlet)
Lineage: Eukaryota; Metazoa; Chordata; Actinopteri; Acipenseriformes; Acipenseridae
Exons: 3
Source: RefSeq, a predicted model, not a curated record